GACUGAAAAAGUGCAUUGCAUUGCUGUGGAGUCCUGGGCACAAUAAAUAAUGGGCUUCAGCAAUGAGGCACCAUCUUGAAAGCAGAGAGCAGUCCUUACCAGACAAAUGCCAGUUCCUUGAUCUUGGACAACUCAGCCUCUAAAAUGAGCCCAGCUGCCAUGAAACCUCACAUUUGACUCUCCAGCCCAGCUACCCUGUGUCAGGCCACCUCGGGACCACCUUUUCUGCUCCACUGGGUACCAAGACUCUCCCCCUUUCACAGCACCCCAAGCUCCCUCCUGCCAGGGGAGCCAGCCCCACAAGUGGGCCUGGGCAAGACAUGUGAGAUCUUCAGGACAGGUGAGUAGGGUUGACUGUGGGAGCAAGGGCACCCACUACCACAGUGGCCUGGGGGAAAAAAAAAAAAAAAACAAGGAAAUCCUGGGUCAGAGGCUGCAGCUUGUACUUUUUUAGAUGCAGACUCAAUAUCCUAUUAAACUUGGAUGAUGGGGGUGAGGGGUUGCAAGACAGAAAACCCUCAGGCUGACAUGCCAUCACCCCCAGUUUAUCAUAAUCCUUUUCUGUGGCUACCUUCAAUACCCUAGAUUCCCCUACUCCAAUAUCCUAGAGUUCUAAACCUUUCUUAGAGGAUCAACUUAUUGAAAUGUAUAAAUAUAUACCAAAUUACACCCAAUGGAGGAUAUGAUGUUCAAUUCCCAACCUCCAGGGCUGCCUAAUCCUGAGGACCUACACACACACACACACACACACACAC
This is a non-coding RNA of Ictidomys tridecemlineatus (thirteen-lined ground squirrel), 755 nucleotides long. The record is from RefSeq and is a predicted model, not a curated record. Lineage: Eukaryota; Metazoa; Chordata; Mammalia; Rodentia; Sciuridae.